GGAAUUACUGGGCGUAAAGCGCGCGUAGGCGGCUUUGUAAGUUAGAGGUGAAAGCCCGGAGCUCAACUCCGGAACUGCCUUCGAUACUGGCGACCUUUGAGUCCGGGAGAGGUGGGUGGAACUGCGAGUGUAGAGGUGAAAUUCGUAGAUAUUCGCAAGAACACCAGUGGCGAAGGCGGCUCACUGGCCCGGUACUGACACUGAGGUGCGAAAGCGUGGGGAGCAAACAG
RNAcentral lists this ribosomal RNA (230 nucleotides) under uncultured bacterium. RNAcentral's name for it is "partial 16S ribosomal RNA". It matches the Rfam family "Bacterial small subunit ribosomal RNA", at positions 547 to 775 of the family's 1533-position model. The record is from RNAcentral.